UGGGUUCAAAUAAAAUACACUGGUUGGGAUUGCUACCACUCCAACUUCCUUGAUCAAAUACUCACAAAAUGCAAUAUCAUUUUCUAGGCCGAAAGGGGUGUGAUCAACAACAACAAAGUAAGUCCCACUUGAUGGGAAUACUUUGAAACCAACAGCCUUCAAUCCCUCCACUAAAAUUGCCUUCUUUGCCAUAUAGUCCCUUUUUAGCUCUACAUAGUAAGAAUCUGGGGCUCUAAGGGCCACUGAAGCCGCCCAUUGCAUUGGAGUGGAGGUAGCAAAAGUUAGGAAGGCGUGUGCCUGCCGCACUCCCCAUGUCAGGUGUGGAGGAGCAAUUGCCCAGCCAAUCUUCCACCCUGUUAAGGAGAAUGUCUUCCCUAAGGAAUUCAUAGUUACUGUCCGCUCAUACAUUCCAGGAAGAGAGGCCAUAGAUAUGUGAUCCAUUUCAAAGGCCAAUUUAUCAUAAACUUCAUCUGUAAAGACCAGAACAUCAUUCUCAAUACAAAGUGAUGCAAUAGUGUUGAGUUCAUCCCUAGUAAACAUCUUCCCAGUGGGGUUAUGUGGUGUG
This 565-nucleotide unclassified non-coding RNA is filed under the name Hevea brasiliensis (rubber tree). The record is from RNAcentral. Lineage: Eukaryota; Viridiplantae; Streptophyta; Magnoliopsida; Malpighiales; Euphorbiaceae.